CCCUUAGAUGUUCUGGGCUGCACGCGCGCUACACUGAUGCACUCAACGAGUUUACGACCUUGCCCGAUAGGGUUGGGUAAUCUUUUUAAAAUGCAUCGUGAUGGGGAUAGAUUAUUGCAAUUAUUAAUCUUCAACGAGGAAUUCCUAGUAAGCGCGAGUCAUCAGCUCGUGCUGAUUACGUCCCUGCCCUUUGUACACACCGCCCGUCGCUCCUACCGAUUGAGUGCUCAGGUGAAUAAUUCGGACUGCAGCAAUGUUUGGAUCCCGAACGUUGCAGCGGAAAGUGUAGUGAACCUUAUCACUUAGAGGAAGGAGAAGUCGUAACA
Molecule: ribosomal RNA, 326 nt
Filed under: uncultured eukaryote
Lineage: Eukaryota
Description: partial 18S ribosomal RNA
Rfam family: Eukaryotic small subunit ribosomal RNA
Source: RNAcentral